RNAcentral lists this small RNA (76 nucleotides) under Salmonella enterica subsp. enterica serovar Liverpool. RNAcentral's name for it is "isrK". Lineage: Bacteria; Pseudomonadati; Pseudomonadota; Gammaproteobacteria; Enterobacterales; Enterobacteriaceae. The record is from RNAcentral.
GUACCUGCAAGCUCAGGCACCGGGAUUGCCUCCUGAACUACCUUCGUGACCACAAUGGCGCAUCUGCAUCUUUUUU